GAGGGAAAGGUGAAAAGCACUUCGAACAGAAGAGUGAAAUAGUCCCUGAACCCAUACGCCUACAAGCAGUCGGAGCCGCUUCGUGCGGUGACGGCGUGCCUUUUGCAUAAUGAGCCUACGAGUUACUCAUCACCAGCGAGGUUAAGUACUUCAGGUACGUAAGCCGAAGCGAAAGCGAGUCUGAAUAGGGCGUCAAGUUGGUGGUGGUAGACGCGAAACCUUAGUGAUCUACCCAUGGGCAGGGUGAAGGUUUGGUAACACAAACUGGAGGCCCGAACCGGUAAACGUUGAAAAGUUUUCGGAUGACCUGUGGGUAGGGGUGAAAGGCCAAUCAAACUGGGAAAUAGCUCGUACUCUCCGAAAUGCAUUUAGGUGCAGCCUCUGUUGUUUUGUUCUAGAGGUAGAGCUACUGAUUGGAUGCGAGGGCUUCACCGCCUAUCAAAUCCGGCCAAACUCCGAAUGCUAGAACAUGAAGACAGGGAGUGAGCCAGCGGGUGCUAAGGUCCGUUGACGAAAGAGGGAGAACUCAGACCAUCAGCUAAGGUCCCCAAUUAUAUGCUAAGUUGGAAUUAAAACGGGGUGGGACUGCUUAGACAGCUAGGAUGUUGGCUUGGAAGCAGCCAUUCAUUUAAAGAGUGCGUAACAGCUCACUAGUCGAGCGGUCCUGCAUGGAUAAUACGCGGGCAUAAGCAUAUAACCGAAGCUAUGGGAUUGUAGAUGAUACAAUCGGUAGGAGAGCAUUCCAUUCAGCAUAGAAGCAGUACCGUGAGGUAUUGUGGAGCGGAUGGAAAAGCAAAUGUAGGCAUAAGUAACGAUAAUGCGGGUGAGAACCCCGCACGCCGAAAGAUCAAGGAUUCCCCGGCAAUGUCAAUCAUCCGGGGGUAAGUCGGAUCCUAAGGGUAAGCCGAGUGGCGAUCCCGAUGGUAAACAGGUUAAUAUUCCUGUACUGAUCAUAACUGCGAUGCAGCGACGCAGAGGUGACACUGCUGCGUACUGACGGAAUAGUACGUUGAAACCCGUAUUCUUUGAUACCGGUAGUGAAGCACGCCGGUAGAGAUGAAAGGUGAUAGUACCGCAAUGCUUCGGUUGCGCGGAUAACGCAGGUAAGCUGACUGCCAAGAAAACCUGCUAAGCUUCAGGUAAUGAUCAUCCGUACUGUAAACGGACACACGUGAUCAGGUAGAAAAUACUAAGGCGCUCGAGAGAUUCAUGGUUAAGGAACUAGGCAAAAUGGUCCUGUAACUUCGGGAUAAAGGACGCUCUUGUGAAAGAGCCGCAGAUAAUAGGCCCAGGCGACUGUUUACCAAAAACACAUGGCUAUGCUAAUUCGCAAGAAGAUGUAUAUGGCCUGACACCUGCCCGGUGCCGGAAGGUUAAGAGGAGAGCUCAGAGGCAACUCGAAGGUUUGAAUUGAAGCCCCGGUAAACGGCGGCCGUAACUAUAACGGUCCUAAGGUAGCGAAAUUCCUUGUCGGGUAAGUUCCGACCUGCACGAAUGGUGUAACGAUCUGGGUACUGUCUCAACCAUGAGCUCGGUGAAAUUGUAGUUCCGGUGAAGAUGCCGGAUACCCGCAACGGGACGGAAAGACCCCGUGAACCUUUACUGCAGCUUUGCAUUGAUUUUGGGUAACAGAUGUGUAGGAUAGGUCGGAGGCUUUGAUGCUGCGUCGUCAGGCGUAGAGUAGCCGUCGUUGAAAUACGACCCUUUUGUUAUCUGAGGUCUAACCCGUUAGGGAGACAUUGCAUGGUGGGUAGUUUGACUGGGGUGGUCGCCUCCAAAAGUGUAACGGAGGCUUCUCAAGGUACCCUCAAGGCGUUUGGUAAUCGUCUGCAGAGUGCAAUGGCAUAAGGGUGCUUGACUGUGAGACCGACACGUCGAUCAGGUUGGAAACAAGAGCAUAGUGAUCCGGUGGUUCCGCAUGGAAGGGCCAUCGCU
This 1935-nucleotide ribosomal RNA is filed under the name human gut metagenome. RNAcentral describes it as "bacterial LSU rRNA". It matches the Rfam family "Bacterial large subunit ribosomal RNA", at positions 505 to 2449 of the family's 2925-position model. The record is from RNAcentral.